CCUUACUGUUAGAGGGGUAGAGAAUAGGAAGUGUCCUUACUGUUAGAGGGGUAGAGAAUAGGAGGUAUCCUUACUGUUAGAGAGGUAGAGAAUAGGAGGUAUCCUUAAUGAAGGACCUACUGUUAGAGAGGUAGAGAAUAGGAGGUAUCCUUAAUGAAGGACCUACUGUUAGAGAGGUAGAGAAUAGGAGGUAUCCUUAAUGAAGGACCUACUGUUAGAGAGGUAGAGAAUAGGAGUUAUCCUUAAUGAAGGACCUACUGUUAGAGAACUACUUCCCAGCUACAAACACAAACAUGGAUAUUAUUCAGCAGAAGAGACUCAUAUUUUCUUCCUCAAGUGUGCUCUUCCUUCACUCCCCCAUGUUUCUUACUCCUGUCCAUGGUGUGGAGUCAACAAGUACACACUUCUAAGGUAGAGAAUUGGGACUCAUCAAAAGGCCUUCUAUAAGAUCCUGGAUCAACCUAACCCUUUGGUCUG
Molecule: long non-coding RNA, 477 nt
Organism: Oncorhynchus tshawytscha (Chinook salmon)
Lineage: Eukaryota; Metazoa; Chordata; Actinopteri; Salmoniformes; Salmonidae
Source: Ensembl